Molecule: ribosomal RNA, 407 nt
Filed under: uncultured bacterium
Lineage: Bacteria
Description: bacterial SSU rRNA
Rfam family: Bacterial small subunit ribosomal RNA
Source: RNAcentral
UGGGGAAUCUUGGACAAUGGGCGCAAGCCUGAUCCAGCCAUGCCGCGUGCAGGAAGAAGGCCUUCUGGGUUGUAAACUGCUUUUGCCGGGGGAUAAAAGGCCCCUGCGGGGGACAUUGAAGGUACCCGGUGAAUAAGCCACGGCUAACUACGUGCCAGCAGCCGCGGUAAUACGUAGGUGGCAAGCGUUGUCCGGAUUUAUUGGGUUUAAAGGGUGCGUAGGCGGCCCCGUAAGUCAGUGGUGAAAUACGGCAGCUCAACUGUCGAGGUGCCAUUGAUACUGCGGGGCUUGAGUAUGGACGAGGUAAGCGGAAUUGACGGUGUAGCGGUGAAAUGCUUAGAUAUCGUCAAGAACACCGAUAGCGAAGGCAGCUUACUAGGCCAUAACUGACGCUGAGGCACGAAGGU